GACGAACGCUGGCGGCGUGCCUAAUACAUGCCAGUCGAACGAGAGCGACCGGUGCUUGCACUGGUCAAUCUAGUGGCGAACGGGUGAGUAACACGUGGGUAACCUGCCCAUCAGAGGGGGAUAACAUUCGGAAACGGAUGCUAAAACCGCAUAGGUCUUCGAACCGCAUGGUUUGAAGAGGAAAAGAGGCGCAAGCUUCUGCUGAUGGAUGGACCCGCGGUGCAUUAGCUAGUUGGUGAGGUAACGGCUCACCAAGGCCGUGAUGCAUAGCCGACCUGAGAGGGUGAUCGGCCACAUUGGGACUGAGACACGGCCCAAACUCCUACGGGAGGCAGCAGUAGGGAACCUUCCGCAAUGGACGCAAGUCUGACGGAGCAACGCCGCGUGAGUGAAGAAGGUUUUCGGAUCGUAAAACUCUGUUGUUAGAGAAGAACAAGUGCUAGAGUAACUGUUAGCGCCUUGACGGUAUCUAACCAGAAAGCCACGGCUAACUACGUG
RNAcentral lists this ribosomal RNA (498 nucleotides) under uncultured bacterium. RNAcentral describes it as "partial 16S ribosomal RNA". It matches the Rfam family "Bacterial small subunit ribosomal RNA", at positions 28 to 507 of the family's 1533-position model. The record is from RNAcentral.